This 495-nucleotide ribosomal RNA is filed under the name uncultured bacterium. RNAcentral describes it as "partial 16S ribosomal RNA". It matches the Rfam family "Bacterial small subunit ribosomal RNA", at positions 36 to 507 of the family's 1533-position model. The record is from RNAcentral.
UCCUCCCUCUGGCGGCGUGCCUAAUACAUGCAAGUAGAACGCUGAAGGAGGAGCUUGCUUCUCUGGAUGAGUUGCGAACGGGUGAGUAACGCGUAGGUAACCUGCCUGGUAGCGGGGGAUAACUAUUGGAAACGAUAGCUAAUACCGCAUAAUAGUAGAUGUUGCAUGACAUUUGCUUAAAAGGUGCAAUUGCAUCACUACCAGAUGGACCUGCGUUGUAUUAGCUAGUUGGUGGGGUAACGGCUCACCAAGGCGACGAUACAUAGCCGACCUGAGAGGGGGAUCGGCCACACUGGGACUGAGACACGGCCCAGACUCCUACGGGAGGCAGCAGGAGGGAAUCUUCGGCAAUGGACGGAAGUCUGACCGAGCAACGCCGCGUGAGUGAAGAAGGUUUUCGGAUCGUAAAGCUCUGUUGUAAGAGAAGAACGAGUGUGAGAGUGGAAAGUUCACACUGUGACGGUAUCUUACCAGAAAGGGACGGCUAACUACGUG